Sycon ciliatum is the source of this 1252-nucleotide long non-coding RNA. RefSeq lists it as uncharacterized. Lineage: Eukaryota; Metazoa; Porifera; Calcarea; Leucosolenida; Sycettidae. The transcript is spliced from 2 exons. The record is from RefSeq and is a predicted model, not a curated record.
UGAUUGUAGGUACAGUGUAGCAGUAGGAUGUUUGUAGAUUGUGUGAAUUAUUUGAGUCGUGUUUGGUAGGACUAUCAGUACCCAGCAUGUCAUGGCUGUGAUGCAGUGAAUGUGAUGGCCGUGGUCCCUGCCAUAGCCCUCCGGUGAUGAAUGAGACGAGAUGACAUCCAUUGAGAUAUGACACGAAUACAACGAAGUCAGAGAAAACUAGGAGUAGUAUUUAUGGAUUCAAAACUUCAGCAAUUGUUCCAUGGUUUAGUUGAUCAGGCUCGAACCAGUGACUGCAACGCUCAGAAUGGAGGACUCGGAGCCACCGAAAAAAAGGAGCGCAUCGGAUACGCAGGCAAGUGAAGAAGACGCCGAGCAACAACAACGACAGCAGCAGAAGCUGAAACAAAUACCGAUGUGGUCGUGCUUUGGAUGCCAAACCAAAAACGAGGAGAGCCUCGGGUCGGUGUGUAAGAAAUGUGCACAGUCCCGGCAUGCUCCACCUGUGGCAACGGUAGCGUCUCGGCCCACGAACGAAGGAAUACUUUCCCUGCCCUCGAUGGACAGUAUGGUCAAUGCCUUCCAGUUGAAUGUGGCCGCUUACGCCGAGGACAGCAGCAGCGUGGAAGCCAGCGGCAUGGCAGAGUGGGCGUGCGUGUCGUGCCAGUUUGUGAACGACGGCGCCACCGCGCAGUGCGCCCUGUGCUACGCCUCGCGGCAAUGUCUUGACGUGCGUGGUACUAGCGCUGCUCCCACUGUGCCUGAUGCUGGCGUGCAUUCACCUGGUGACACUGAAGACAUGGACAUGUCUUAAAUGCUGUAAAAUCGACAUCGAUGGAAGUAAAGUGAGCGUAGUCAUACCACGACUCCACCAAUUGGAACAAUAUGCAACGUAUAAGGUUUUUGUCUCCAUGCUGCCUUUUUUGAAAAAGAAAUAAAAAAUUAUUUUCUAAAAUCGUACAUUGGUGUUCUCCGGGCUCCUAACACGCUGAAACUGGCGAUCUUUUUUUUUCAUUCGUUUCGUCCAGCUGAGAGCUUGUUUGUGGGACGGACGGACAAUGCAAGCGUUAGCAAGUGCAAAGAAAACACUGCACUGGAAUUGUUGUUGUUGUUGUUGUUGUUGUUGUUUCAAAUCUUUGUUCUCACGGUGGCCAUUGUUGUUGUCGUCGUCGUCGUUUGAUUUGAUUUUAAUUCGCAGUGACCAAACGAGUACAGUCAUGUUGAUUUGUAGAGUUCUUAGAAGAAAUAUACCGUCAGCACUUGU